RNAcentral lists this ribosomal RNA (253 nucleotides) under uncultured bacterium. RNAcentral describes it as "partial 16S ribosomal RNA". It matches the Rfam family "Bacterial small subunit ribosomal RNA", at positions 524 to 776 of the family's 1533-position model. The record is from RNAcentral.
UACGUAGGGUGCGAGCGUUACUCGGAAUUACUGGGCGUAAAGCGCGUGUAGGCGGUCCGGUAAGUCCGCUGUGAAAGUCGAGGGCUCAACCCUCGAAUGCCGGUGGAUACUGUCGGGCUUGAGUACGGGAGAGGCGAGUGGAAUUCCUGGUGUAGCGGUGAAAUGCGCAGAUAUCAGGAGGAACACCAAUGGCGAAGGCAGCACUCUGGGACGUGACUGACGCUGAGACGCGAAAGCGUGGGGAGCAAACAGG